AUACGUAGGUGACAAGCGUUAUCCGGAUUUACUGGGCGUAAAGGGCGUGUAGGCGGUCUUGCAAGUCAGAAGUGAAAUUCCUGAGCUCAACUCGGGCGCUGCUUCUGAAACUGCAGGACUUGAGUGCUGGAGGGGAUAGCGGAAUUCCUAGUGGAGCGGUAAAAUGCGCAGAUAUUAGGAAGAACACCGGUGGCGAAGGCGGCUGUCUGGACAGUAACGGACGCUGAGGCGCGAAAGCGUGGGGAGCAAACAGGAUUAGAUCCCCUGGUAGUCCACGCCGUAAACGAUGAAUACUAGGUGUAGGGGUUGUCAUGACCUCUGUGCCGCCGCUAACGCAUUAAGUAUUCCGCCUGGGGAGUACGGUCGCAAGAUUAAAACUUAAAGGAAUUGACGGGG
RNAcentral lists this ribosomal RNA (396 nucleotides) under uncultured bacterium. RNAcentral describes it as "partial 16S ribosomal RNA". It matches the Rfam family "Bacterial small subunit ribosomal RNA", at positions 523 to 918 of the family's 1533-position model. The record is from RNAcentral.